GUGAUCAAGGCCCAAGAUAUUGUUUAUUCCAUGGACAUAUAACAUGAGUGAAAAAUGUCUUUGUCACUGCAAAUUAAGAUGGCAGAAUAGAAGGACUGGAGCUCAAUGUCUCUCAUAAAAACAACAAAACUACAACCAAAUGCUGAGCAACAUUCGAUCAAAUGGACUGGAAACUUUCAAAAAGACAUCCUACUCCAGAAGACAAAGAAGAAGCCACAUCAAGAGGUCCCCAUCAGCUCAUCUCAGUGCCCCAACCUGAGUUCCAGAAGGAGAGAGAGCAUCACAUUGGCCCAACUCAUCUCUACCUGCACAGUAAGAUUUAGGAUGGAAUGAACAAAUAGACCGUGGAGCAUUCUCAAGAGACAAUGAGUGUGGUGAGGAGUCUGAUCAUCACUGUGCUUAUCCUCAGGCUUAUCCUCUUUUCCUCUGCCUUGGAUAGAAAUGGAAAGUGGGUAUGCAAGUGUGCAUGUUUGCGUGUGCGUGCAUGCACCUGUGUGUGCAUGUGUGCGCCUGUGUGUGUGUGUGUGUGUAUGUGUGUAUGCACAUGCUUGCUUGCUCCCUUCUGCUGAACCAUUUCUCCAUAAUUCUCAGAGGGAGUGGCCUUAUGAAGGCACAAGAAAGAUGGUGGAAGAGGGAACAUUCCUCCUACAAAAAAGAAUUCAAAGCACAGCUGAAUGGAGGGCUCCACCUCAUAUCCUCCUCACCUUAAGAACAAGGAUAAUAGAAGAGCUCUCAUUUGGAAUACAGACACUCAUGAUGGCAAGAGAAAAAGACUUCUGGGGAGGUCUUACACCCACAAGGAAAUGCUCCCGUGAGGAAGUGAUGCAUGUUACUUCUGUUUGA
Molecule: long non-coding RNA, 843 nt
Filed under: Sus scrofa (pig)
Lineage: Eukaryota; Metazoa; Chordata; Mammalia; Artiodactyla; Suidae
Description: lncRNA (ENSSSCG00030002093.1)
Source: RNAcentral